Molecule: ribosomal RNA, 502 nt
Filed under: uncultured Actinomycetes bacterium
Lineage: Bacteria; Bacillati; Actinomycetota; Actinomycetes
Description: bacterial SSU rRNA
Rfam family: Bacterial small subunit ribosomal RNA
Source: RNAcentral
CCUGAUGCAGCGACGCCGCGUGAGGGAGUGACGGCCUUCGGUUGUAACCUCUUCAGCAGGGAAGAAGCGAAAGUGACGGUACCUGCAGAAGAAGCGCCGGCUAACUACGUGCCAGCAGCCGCGGUAAUACGUAGGGCGCAAGCGUUGUCCGGAAUUAUUGGGCGUAAAGAGCUCGUAGGCGGCUUGUCACGUCGGGUGUGAAAGCCCGGGGCUUAACCCCGGGUCUGCAUUCGAUACGGGCUAGCUAGAGUGUGGUAGGGGAGAUCGGAAUUCCUGGUGUAGCGGUGAAAUGCGCAGAUAUCAGGAGGAACACCGGUGGCGAAGGCGGAUCUCUGGGCCAUUACUGACGCUGAGGAGCGAAAGCGUGGGGAGCGAACAGGAUUAGAUACCCUGGUAGUCCACGCCGUAAACGGUGGGAACUAGGUGUUGGCGACAUUCCACGUCGUCGGUGCCGCAGCUAACGCAUUAAGUUCCCCGCCUGGGGAGUACGGCCGCAAGGCUA